CUAUUACUCGCCCUGAGGUGGAAGGGGGGAGACUCUUUAAAGUGCGUCAGAGGGAGGUGAGCGCCUGGGAACCCGGAGGCCUGGAUCCCGGCCGAGUGGAACGGAGUCGGCGCCGCCGCCUCGGCCGAGCCUUCCGCCGCCCGCCGGGCCGCCCGACUUCUCCGCGCCUUCGCCCCUCGCUCCCAGCUCACUCGCUCCUGCGACGCCCGCUGCGGCUUCUCCUCCUCCUCCUCCUUCGCCUCCUCCUCUUCCUCCGGUUUCUUCUUCUUCUCCUCCUCCUCUUCUUCCUCCUCCUCCUCCUCCUCUUCUUCCUCCUCCUCUUUCCCCACCUACUCCCCCUCAGCCACCGCCUCCUCCUCCACCAGCACCACUCCCUCCGGGGCACCCCGGUCCCUGCAGAGUCCCUGGCCGGCGCCGCCUCCGCUGCGGCCCCCUGAAUCCGGAGCCUGCUGCGCCCAAGCUGGUAGGACAGACGGACAAACAGAUUCCUUUCGCCUAGCGCUCCUUACGCGGCCCUGCGUCGGGGGAACUGGGAUCGUCCCAGGAGCACCGCGAGGGUUGCCGUGAGACCUGGGAGAAGCCGAUGGGAAUGGGGGGAGAAGAGUGAAGUCCACCGUGAGCCAGGCUGCACUGCCACCAGAAGCAUAGUUGAGGGGACAGGUCUCAGGACAAGCUACCUGCUUCCUCCCUUGGUUUCAUCUACUGUAUAUUUAUGUUUGUGUCAAUUACUCCUUUAUUCCAAAUAAAAUGUUGUGUUGGGGCAGGUGUCCAAAAACCUCUUUUGGGAAACCAGGCAAGAGAGGAG
This 805-nucleotide long non-coding RNA is filed under the name Rhinopithecus roxellana (golden snub-nosed monkey). RNAcentral's name for it is "lncRNA (ENSRROG00000045858.1)". The record is from RNAcentral. Lineage: Eukaryota; Metazoa; Chordata; Mammalia; Primates; Cercopithecidae.